GCCUCUGACCUUACCUGAAAAGAGGAAACCGAUCUCGUCUGAUCUCGGAAAGCUAAGCAGAGUCGAGCCUGGUUAGUACUUGGAUGGGAGACCACCUAGGAAGACCAGAUGCUGUAGGCG
RNAcentral lists this ribosomal RNA (120 nucleotides) under Pteropus alecto (black flying fox). Lineage: Eukaryota; Metazoa; Chordata; Mammalia; Chiroptera; Pteropodidae. The record is from RNAcentral.